UUAAGUAUAGUCACUUGAAAUGUGUAAUAAUAACUUAAAAUAAUAAAGUAUGGUUACAAAAUAAAUUUGUUUGGUUAUAUGAAAAGAUCUCUUCUUUGAGAAUUUCUCAUUGAGUAAAUCUUCUUGUAUAUUCUAUUGCAGUGUACCUGACAAGGUAUAACCCAUUGGAGUGUACCUUGUAUAAUUCAUUUGACCGGGUUCAGAGUUUUAAGAAAUAAGAAAAGAGUUUUCUUCACAUUAAUUGUUAAAUACAUGGCACC
Molecule: long non-coding RNA, 260 nt
Filed under: Capsicum annuum
Lineage: Eukaryota; Viridiplantae; Streptophyta; Magnoliopsida; Solanales; Solanaceae
Description: long non-coding RNA (CANN_LNC008357)
Source: RNAcentral